AUGCCUGGCUAUAGGCUCUUCAGAAGGGACAGGCAGCACAGAAGGGGUGGCGGUGUGGCUCUCUAUAUUAGAGAGUCUUUCGAUGUUGUAGAACUCGAGGCUAGGAAUGACAAGAUCGAGUCCCUUUGGGUUAGGAUCGGCAGGGACAACAAGGCUAGUGUCCUGGUCGGGGUCUGCUAUAGACCGCCGAACCAGGAUGAGGAGACGGAUGAGGAGUUCUACAGGCAGCUGACAGAAGUUGCGAAAUCGUCGGCGCUUGUACUCGUGGGGGACUUCAACUUCCCUGACAUAUCCUGGAAGCACAACACAGCCCAGAGAAAGCAGUCUAGGAGGUUUCUGGAGAGCGUGGAAGAUAGCUUCCUGACGCAGAUGAUUAGUGAACCUACCAGGGGUGGUGCCCUGCUAGACCUUCUCUUCACAAACAGAGAAGGACUGGUGGAGGAUGUGAUUGUCGGGAACAGUCUUGGGCAGAGUGACCACGAAAUGGUGGAGUUCACUAUUCUUGGCGGGGCCAGGAAGGGAACCAGUAAAACCACUGUAUUGGACUUCCGGAGGGCUGACUUUGGGCUGCUCAGGACACUGGUUGGUGGAGUCCCAUGGGAGGCGGUUCUGAAGGGCAGAGGGGUCCAGAAAGGCUGGGCGCUCUUUAAGAGGCAAAUCCUAAUGGCGCAGGAGCGGUCUAUUCCCAUGCGCCCAAAGAUGAGCCAGCGGGGAAGACCAGCCUGGCUCAACAGAGAAUUGUGGCUUGAGCUAAGGAGAAAAAAGAGGGUUUAUAAUCUUUGGAAAAUUGGGCAGGCCACUAAGGAGGACUAUAAGGAUGUAGCGAGGCUGUGCAGGGACAAGAUUAGGAAGGCCAAAGCUCAUCUGGAGCUCAAUCUGGCUACUGCUGUUAAAGAUAACAAAAAACGUUUUUAUAAAUACAUCAACACCAAAAGGAGGAGUAGGGAGAAUCUCCAUCCUUUACUGGAUGCGGAGGGAAACUUAGUUACAAGAGAUGAGGAAAAGGCGGAGGUGCUUAAUGCCUUCUUUGCCUCAGUCUUUAGCGGCAAAACCGGUUGCUCUCUGGAUACCCAGUACCCAGAACUGGUGGAAGGGGACGGGGAGCAGGAUGUGGCCCUCACUAUCCACGAAGAACUGGUUGGUGACCUGCUACGGCACUUGGAUGUGCACAAAUCGAUGGGGCCGGAUGGGAUCCACCCGAGGGUACUGAGAGAA
This 1215-nucleotide long non-coding RNA is filed under the name Anas platyrhynchos platyrhynchos (common mallard). RNAcentral's name for it is "lncRNA (ENSAPLG00000026046.1)". Lineage: Eukaryota; Metazoa; Chordata; Aves; Anseriformes; Anatidae. The record is from RNAcentral.